RNAcentral lists this ribosomal RNA (301 nucleotides) under uncultured bacterium. RNAcentral describes it as "partial 16S ribosomal RNA". It matches the Rfam family "Bacterial small subunit ribosomal RNA", at positions 509 to 807 of the family's 1533-position model. The record is from RNAcentral.
CAGUCGCCACGGUAAUACGGAGGGGGCUAGCGUUGUUCGGAAUUACUGGGCGUAAAGCGCACGUAGGCGGCUUGGUAAGUUAGAGGUGAAAGCCCAGGGCUCAACCCUGGAAUUGCCUUUAAGACUGCCGAGCUAGUAGGUGAGAGAGGUAAGUGGAAUUCCGAGUGUAGAGGUGAAAUUCGUAGAUAUUCGGAAGAACACCAGUGGCGAAGGCGGCUUACUGGCUCAUUCUAGACGCUGAGGUGCGAAAGCGUGGGGAGCAAACAGGAUUAGAGACCCCGGUAGUCCCUGUCUCUUAUAC